AAGUCGAGGGGAAACGACAUCGAAAGCUUGCUUUUGAUGGGCGUCGACCGGCGCACGGGUGAGUAACGCGUAUCCAACCUGCCCACCACUUGGGGAUAACCUUGCGAAAGUAAGACUAAUACCCAAUGACGUCUCUAGAAGACAUCUGAAAGAGAUUAAAGAUUUAUCGGUGACGGAUGGGCAUGCGGCGCAUUAGCUAGUCGGCGGGGUAACGGCCCACCAAGGCAACGAUCAGUAGGGGUUCUGAGAGGAAGGUCCCCCACAUUGGAACUGAGACACGGUCCAAACUCC
Molecule: ribosomal RNA, 291 nt
Filed under: uncultured Prevotella sp.
Lineage: Bacteria; Pseudomonadati; Bacteroidota; Bacteroidia; Bacteroidales; Prevotellaceae
Description: partial 16S ribosomal RNA
Rfam family: Bacterial small subunit ribosomal RNA
Source: RNAcentral